RNAcentral lists this ribosomal RNA (407 nucleotides) under uncultured bacterium. RNAcentral's name for it is "partial 16S ribosomal RNA". It matches the Rfam family "Bacterial small subunit ribosomal RNA", at positions 28 to 526 of the family's 1533-position model. The record is from RNAcentral.
GACGAACGCUGGCGGCGUGCCUAAUACAUGCAAGUAGGACGCAGUUGCGAACGGGUGAGUAACGCGUAGGUAACUACCUAUUAGAGGGGGAUAACUAUUGGAAACGAUAGCUAAUACCGCAUACUCGUAGAUGGACCUGCGUUGUAUUAGGUAGUAGGUAGGGUAAUGGCCUAACUAGGCAACGUGACAUAGCCGACCUGGGAGGGUGAGCGGCCACAAUGGGACUGAGCAACGGCCCAGACUCCUACGGGAGGCAGCAGUAGGGAAGCUUCGGAAAUUGGGGGAACCCUGACCGAGCAACGACGCGUGAGUGAAGAAGGGUUUCGGAUCGUAAAGCUCUGUUGUUAAGGAAGCGUUACUUAACCAGAAAGGGACGGCUAACUACGUGCCAGCCGCCGCGGUAAUAC